AGUGAAUAGAUACCCGGGUAGUCCUAGCCGUAAACGAUACUCGCUAGGUGUCGGCCACGGUGCGACCGUUGUCGGUGCCGUAGGGAAAGCCGUGAAGCGAGCCACCUGGGAAGUACGGCCGCAAGGCUGAAACUUAAAGGAAUUGGCGGGGGAGCACCACAACGGGUGGAGCUUGCGGUUUAAUUGGAUUCAACGCCGGAAAUCUUACCGGGACCGACAGCAAUAUGAAGGCCAGGCUGAAGACUUUGCCGGAUUAGCUGAGAGGUGGUGCAUGGCCGUCGUCAGUUCGUACUGUGAAAGCAUCCUGUUAAGUCAGGCAACGAGCGAGACCCACGCCCACAGUUGCCAGCGUACUCUCUGGAGUGACGGGUACACUGUGGGGACCGCCGCUGCUAAAGCGGAGGAAGGAAUGGGCAACGGUAGGUCAGUAUGCCCCGAAUAUCCCGGGCUACACGCGAGCUACAAUGGUUGGUACAAUGGGUAUCUACCCCGAAAGGGACGGGAAUCUCCUAAAACCAAUCUUAGUUCGGAUUGAGGGCUGCAACUCGCCCUC
RNAcentral lists this ribosomal RNA (553 nucleotides) under uncultured bacterium. RNAcentral describes it as "bacterial SSU rRNA". It matches the Rfam family "Archaeal small subunit ribosomal RNA", at positions 725 to 1275 of the family's 1478-position model. The record is from RNAcentral.